RNAcentral lists this transfer RNA (61 nucleotides) under Homidia socia. RNAcentral describes it as "tRNA-Ser". Lineage: Eukaryota; Metazoa; Arthropoda; Collembola; Entomobryomorpha; Entomobryidae. The record is from RNAcentral.
GAGAAGAACAAAAUUAAGCUGCUAACUUAAUUUUUAAUGGUUAAAAUCCGUUAUCUAUUUU